UGUCAAGGACUCAGCUGAGAGCGGGAGCUGCUGGAGCAAUAAACGUCUCCGAGAAGGUUCUUAGAUUUCACUCAUUUAACUGACCAAGCGUAUGCUCCAGAGCCUUUACCAAGUUCAAGAGACUGGACAAAGGCUGGUAGAACGGCUUCUGGGAUAAAACGUUUGCAGAGCAAGUGUGAGAACUGGAGUUCGGAUCCCCAGCACCCAGGCAUGCUGUCCCAGGGACAAGAACAGCAAUCAUACACAGAAGGAAAACAUGCCCGCUGAAGUCCGUUAUAAGACCAUUCGCUGCUGCUGGACCAGCUGAAGAGCUGAGGUAACCCACAAACUCUUCAAGUUUAAGCACUGGGACAGGAAAGAACAGAGGAAGUUGUCUAUACAAUUAGUUGUGAAUAAAAUCUAAGUGGACACCAGCCAGGGAAAUUAAAGGGAAGGAAUCAAUCCCCCAGUUAAAAAUGAGUUUCAGUCGGGAAAUGGAAGUCUUCAUAAAUGGCCAGUAAAUAUUUUAAGCUUUAUUGGCUACAUCAAGUCUCUGUGAUGUAUCCCACAAAUUUUGCUUAUUUUCAAACUUCUUUGGUUUUUUGCUUAAAGCCCUUAACAUAUAAGCCAUUUUUAAAUGAGGCCACACAAAAGCAGGCUAUGGACUGCAUCCGGCUGCAUCUGCAGCCUCUGAUUAAUAUACGCUUCCUCCUAAAAACCUCCGAAAUGACGAGGAGAAAAAAGCAGAAUUACACAAAAUCAAAGAACAGGAGAGGAGAUAUCAGCACCAAAAUCUGGAAGCUGGGGAGCAAGUAAAGAGCAGGACUCAGCAAACUCAAGCCAGUACUGGUCUAUAGAGCAGGAACCGAUGCGGAGCUGCUAUGUGCAGUACACGCAGAACUCCCCCAGAGCCUUACUGAAGAGAAAGUGAAGAUGUAGACAAGACACCAGUUCUUAAAGAUGAACUGACAGCCAAGACCACAGGGUAGUAGAGGAAAGUCUCCCACGGAAAGAAAGGAGACCAAAACAAAUGCAACCACCACAAAUACACAGGGAGAUUAAAAAAACAAAAUACUGAAUUUGUCAGUAUAGAAAUUUUACUCAUGAGUCAAGUAGAAGAUAUUGCUUAAAGGGAACAUUUAGGGGAUGGAGAGAUGGCUCCAUUUUUGACAGUGUAUACCAGUCUUGAGGACCUGAGUUCAAUUCCCAACACCCAUAUGGGGUGACUCACAACUGCCUGAACUACAGCUCCAGGGGAUACACACACACACACACACACACACACACACACACAAUUAGAAUGAAUCUUUUAAAAAAAAUACACAAUCAGAAAUUUUUUUAAAAAAAGACUGGAAACAAGUUGAGGAAACUCUCAGAGUGUAGAGCAAAAGGCCAGAAACAGCAAAUGAGAUUUUUUUUUU
Long non-coding RNA from Peromyscus eremicus (cactus mouse), 1400 nucleotides. RefSeq lists it as uncharacterized. The record is from RefSeq and is a predicted model, not a curated record. The transcript is spliced from 2 exons. NCBI's taxonomy places the organism in Eukaryota, Metazoa, Chordata, Mammalia, Rodentia, Cricetidae.